GGCCCAACACAGCAAAAAAAAAAAAAAAAAAAGAAUUCAUCAUCCAUUUUUCAGUAUGCUUUGAGAAUUUAAGCUAUUUCUUUUUAUAAGAAUAAACAAAUCCAAGCUGUCAUCUGGGGAAGAGUUUCAUAAAUUAAACAAGAAAAUAAUUUGAAAAAAGAUAAAGCGCAAAUCACACUGAGACUCAAACAUAAGCAACAACCACAAGACAGCCAAUGGGAGCUCAGAAUGAAAGUUAUGUUGCUUCAGCCCUCUACAUUCCCAUCUUCAAACAAUAGGUAUGUGCCCAUCUUUGGCAAAUCAGCUCUGUAGUAACUGGACUCUGACUUAUUCUCUGUGGUAUCAUCGGCACCAGGCCCCGUGUAAUCACUCAACAGGUAAUUUUAACUAAAGCAGUUUCUUAGAUUUUCUCCUCCUACUGGAAGGCAUUUGCAAAUGACCAAGCUAUUUUGCUUCAUCAGGGCCAUAUUUGCUGGGAUUAUAAUCGACAAUGGCUAAUAUUUCCACUCUUCCCUUACUGGUAUCAGUCAUGCCUACUGAGUUUAUUGCUAAAACCACUAGGAUUAUGUUUCCUUUAAGGUGCAUAUGGCUCUGGGGAUUUAAGUUGCAGCACAAUUUUCAGCCUUUUCCUGGCACUAUAUUAAACUCAUGAGGAUGGCCUCAUCUCUAAUUUGCCCUCUACUAGGUUAAGAACUAGCCUGGUGUCAUAUACAGAGCCACCUAUCUGAACUCAGACUCUCCCUGAAUCUCACAGCUCACAGUAACCAGACACAUAUUACUCCUUAGUGGAUCUUUAUUUUUUUUUUUUAAUUUUAUUUUUUUUUAAAGACUG
This is a long non-coding RNA of Balaenoptera musculus (blue whale), 832 nucleotides long. RefSeq lists it as uncharacterized. The record is from RefSeq and is a predicted model, not a curated record. NCBI's taxonomy places the organism in Eukaryota, Metazoa, Chordata, Mammalia, Artiodactyla, Balaenopteridae. The transcript has 3 exons.